GACGAACGCUGGCGGCGCGCUUAACACAUGCAAGUCGAACGGAAAGGCCUGCUUUCCCUUGUGGAUUGCGGGUACUCGAGUGGCGAACGGGUGAGUAACACGUGAGUGAUCUGCCCCCAACUUGGGUAUAAGCCUGGGAAACUGGGUCUAAUUCCCGAUAGGACUGCAGGGUGGUGCCUGUGGUGGAAAACGAUUUUCUAGUGGUUGGGGAUGAGCUCGCGGCCUAUCAGCUUGUUGGUGGGGUAAUGGCCUACCAAGGCGGCGACGGGUAGCCGGCCUGAGAGGGUGGACGGCCACAUUGGGACUGAGAUACGGCCCAGACUCCUACGGGAGGCAGCAGUGGGGAAUAUUGCACAAUGGGCGGAAGCCUGAUGCAGCGACGCCGCGUGGGGGGUGGCGGCCUUCGGGUUGUAAACUCCUUUCGACCGCGAGGAAGCCACCUGGUUGGAAGGGUGGUGACGGUAGUGGUAGAAGAAGCACCGGCUAACUACGU
Molecule: ribosomal RNA, 493 nt
Filed under: uncultured bacterium
Lineage: Bacteria
Description: partial 16S ribosomal RNA
Rfam family: Bacterial small subunit ribosomal RNA
Source: RNAcentral